CGGCCAUGUGGCGCGUUCUGGAGCGGGCGCGGGCGAUUGGGCGCGCGGCGGUGGGAGGCGGGGCUCGGUCCGGGGGCGGGCGCUGUGCUUGGGAGCUAGGCCUGCAGGAGACGGGCGCGGCGGAGUGUCGUCCCGCGUCUGGUCGUCUUCUGAGGUCCCCGGGUCGGCGCGCAGGCUGGGCCGCGAUGCCCGAGGUGAGCACUGACGAGCUGGACGAGCGGCAAGUGCAGCUCUUGGCGGAGAUGUGCAUCCUCAUCGACGAGAACGACCGGAGGAUCGGGGCGGAGACCAAGAAGAACUGCCAUCUGAACGAGAACAUCGAGAGAGGAUUAUUGCAUCGAGCUUUUAGUGUUUUCUUAUUCAACACUGAAAAUAAGCUCCUGCUGCAGCAGAGAUCAGACGCUAAAAUUACCUUUCCAGACCUGCUUUGAAGAAGAGUUAAUGCACAUCUAUAUUAACGUGUUCCAGGUUGUUUUACGAAUACUUGCUGUAGUCAUCCCUUAAAUAAUCCACGAGAGCUUGAAGAAAACAAUGCAAUUGGAGUAAGGCGAGCAGCACAGAGGCGUUUAAAGGCCGAAUUGGGAAUUCCCAUGGAAGAGGUUCCUCCAGAAGAAAUUAAUUAUCUAACACGAAUCCAUUACAAGGCUCAAUCUGAUGGUAUCUGGGGAGAACAUGAAAUUGAUUACAUUUUGUUUGUGAAGAAGAACGUGACCUUGAAUCCAGAUCCCAAUGAGAUUAAAAGCUAUUGUUACGUAUCAAAGGAAGAACUAGAAGAACUUCUGGAAAAGGCAGCCCGUGGUGAAAUUAAGAUAACUCCGUGGUUUCAAAUUAUUGCAGAGACUUUUCUCUUUAGGUGGUGGGAUAACUUAAAUCAUUUGAAUCAGUUUGUUGACCAUGAGAAAAUACACAGAAUGUAGAUGUGGAGAUGAAUGAUUACUAAAGUACUAAAGAAUUUCUCUACUUAGAAAACUUAAGAUGAAUUUUUUAAAAACCUGGUUCCCCAUUAGAACUCUCAUUGGAAAUACUGAUACUUCACAACCAGAAUUUGUGUGGAAAAGAAUUCUUGAUUUGUGUCAUACAACCCAUAUAUGUUAACUGCAAUUUGUAGAAAAUAUUUGAGAUUAUAAAAAGAGCAAAUAAACUUAAUUUAACCUAUCUAAACACAUGGUUAUGACAAAUUUGAACAAAUAAGUGAAGUUCUUCAUUUUUUUAUAUAUUGUGAUUAACAUUUUCAGAAGACUUGUAGAGCACUUUGCUGUUUGCCAGGUGCUUGACAUAUCUUUAAAUUUUUAUCAUAGUCCAGAAAAACGUGCAAUGGAAAACUAUUUGCUUAUCUACUUCAAAACAGUUCAAAUUAACUUUUCAGAUUGAGAUUAAUAUAGAACAGGUUCAAGGGAAUUAAAUGGUAUAUAUCCUGAUUUCUGUCAUUGUUAAUUUUGUGUUUUAAUCAUUCUGGAAGUAUUCUGAUACUUAAAGUCAAACAUUGUUUUUGGUAAUGACAUUGGCUAGGUUAAGUCAUUUAAAUAAUCGUUGCUGAUUAGCAAAGUCUGUGGUUUUCAGAGUUACUGGGGUCAGGCUAGUUGUAAAAUGGAACUUGAGUCAGUUGGGUCAUACUCUACAACAGGGUAUUUUAGCCUUGGCACUGCUGAUGUUUGGGUUGGAUAAUUCUUUUGGGGGCUCAUCCUUUGUGUUGUAGGAUUUAGCAGCAUCCCCAGGUUCUACAUAAAAUGCUGUUGGCACCCCUCCCCCCAUGGCAGCCCCAGUGACACCAGAUGCCGAAUGUCUCCUCCAGGACAGCGUCACCCACAGUUGAGAACCACUGUUCUGCUGAGUCAGGCCAUGUUGUAGGGGGAAAAUUAUCAAAAAGAAAGGCUAACAUUCAUGUUAAAUAGAUUUGGGUUAUGGAAUAUGUGUGUAUUCAUAUUUAAAGUACACUUUGACUAAUGUACUUCUUUAAACUCUUGCCAUAGACUUCUCAGAUUUGAAAUCUUAAGACAGCUUUAUUAUCUUUGAAUGCUGUGUAUUAGUAAGUAAUAAAGAAAAAGAUAAAAAUUUGUUUCUUACAAAGCUAAAUGUUUUAUAAAUUCAAUAGAAAAAUCCAUUUGUUAACCCUGAACAGUUAAUUUCAGGCAAGACUGUGUAGCUGAUAGUAACUUUAUUGAAAAAUAAAAACAAAACUAAAUUA
RNA transcript from Balaenoptera musculus (blue whale), 2185 nucleotides. It is a transcript of the gene named isopentenyl-diphosphate Delta-isomerase 1, with no coding region annotated. The record is from RefSeq and is a predicted model, not a curated record. The transcript has 5 exons. Lineage: Eukaryota; Metazoa; Chordata; Mammalia; Artiodactyla; Balaenopteridae.